This 253-nucleotide ribosomal RNA is filed under the name uncultured bacterium. RNAcentral's name for it is "partial 16S ribosomal RNA". It matches the Rfam family "Bacterial small subunit ribosomal RNA", at positions 524 to 776 of the family's 1533-position model. The record is from RNAcentral.
UACGUAGGGUGCGAGCGUUGUUCGGAAUCAUUGGGCGUAAAGCGCUCGCAGGUGGUUCGUUGCGUCGUGCGUGAAAGACCCCGGCUCAACUGGGGAGUGUCGUGCGAUACGGGCGAACUGGAGGCCAGUAGGGGGAUGCGGAAUUCCGGGUGUAGUGGUGGAAUGCGUAGAGAUCCGGAGGAACACCAGCGGCGAAGGCGGCAUCCUGGACUGGUCCUGACACUCAGGAGCGAAAGCGUGGGGAGCGAUCCGG